Bombus terrestris (buff-tailed bumblebee) is the source of this 851-nucleotide long non-coding RNA. RefSeq lists it as uncharacterized. The transcript has 2 exons. The record is from RefSeq and is a predicted model, not a curated record. NCBI's taxonomy places the organism in Eukaryota, Metazoa, Arthropoda, Insecta, Hymenoptera, Apidae.
UGUAUUGCUUACGCCACUCUAACCGGCAGUAUAAUGUAAAAAAAUACAAUGAUAGCGGUAACUUGCCCAUAAAGUAUUAGUACUAGCUACGAUUGAAUAAACCAAACAAAAGUAUGCACUUUUAGUAUUCCACGCAGUGCAGUGUAAUGUUUCAGAAAGGAAAGAUGUGUUAACAAUAAGAUUUAAUAAAUUAUAUAAAUUUUUAUAGCGUCUAUACAAUACUGUAAUACUUAUACUUAUUCGUAAUUUUUUAAUUUUCAAAGUUAGCAAUAAAGAUGCAAUAUUGGCGAUAAAUAUAUACAUUUUUUAAAUAAAAUUUAUAACCACAAUUUCUUACUUCCUAUUUAUAUGUAAUAAUAAAAUUAUAUUAAGAAAUUGAAUUUUAGACACAAGUCAGAAAUGACUCACACAUGGUCUCGUCCAUAGUAUGCUAUUCGAGGGUUAAUAUUUGACACUGGGGCACUGUUUCGCAGUUUAUCCACCUCGAACAUGAAGUUCCAUUAAUGUCGUGUCUAAACCAUGUACACGUGCUUCGUUAGAAGCCAUGUACAAGCAGUGCUUUGCUCACCGACCGUGUACGAAAAGAAAAAUAACCGGAAAGACGAAGAUAAAAACAGUCCAGAAAAAUGUUUCAUUCCUAACGAAACAUUGAAGCCGGGGAUCGACCCUUUCCUAUCGUCGUGGACGCCACACCGCCACAAAACCGCAAAUGACUAAACUCAAAGAAGAAAAAAAAAAGAAGUGCACUCACCGUUCCUGGAUACAUCCAACUCCACGAGAUUUUCGAAGUUCUGGAUAUCUGGUGGUAAGCGGUGAAUUUCAUUGUCACUCAAGCCUAGCUUUCGUAGCUU